Molecule: ribosomal RNA, 497 nt
Filed under: uncultured bacterium
Lineage: Bacteria
Description: partial 16S ribosomal RNA
Rfam family: Bacterial small subunit ribosomal RNA
Source: RNAcentral
GAUGAACGCUGGCGGCGUGCCUAAUACAUGCAAGUCGAGCGAACAGACGAGGAGCUUGCUCCUCUGACGUUAGCGGCGGACGGGUGAGUAACACGUGGAUAACCUACCUAUAAGACUGGGAUAACUUCGGGAAACCGGAGCUAAUACCGGAUAAUAUAUUGAACCGCAUGGUUCAAUAGUGAAAGACGGUUUUGCUGUCACUUAUAGAUGGAUCCGCGCCGCAUUAGCUAGUUGGUAAGGUAACGGCUUACCAAGGCAACGAUGCGUAGCCGACCUGAGGGGGUGAUCGGCCACACUGGAACUGGGACACGGUCCAUACUCCUACGGGAGGCAGCAGUAGGGAAUCUUCCGCAAUGGGCGAAAGCCUGACGGAGCAACGCCGAGUGAAUGAUGAAGGUCUUCGGAUCGUAAAACUCUGUUAUUAGGGAAGAACAAAUGUGUAAGUAACUAUGCACGUCUUGACGGUACCUAAUCAGAAAGCCACGGCUAACUACGUG